RNAcentral lists this ribosomal RNA (253 nucleotides) under uncultured bacterium. Its description in RNAcentral is "partial 16S ribosomal RNA". It matches the Rfam family "Bacterial small subunit ribosomal RNA", at positions 524 to 776 of the family's 1533-position model. The record is from RNAcentral.
UACGGAGGGUGCAAGCGUUAAUCGGAAUCACUGGGCUUAAAGCGUGCGUAGGCGGCCCUGUAAGUUAGGUGUGAAAUCCCACAGCUCAACUGUGGAACUGCGCUUAAAACUAUAGGGCUAGAGGGAUAUAGAGGUGAGCAGAACAGAUGGUGGAGCGGUGAAAUGCGUUGAUAUCAUCUGGAAUACCGGAGGCGAAGGCGGCUCACUGGGUAUCUUCUGACGCUGAGGUACGAAAGCUAGGGGAGCGAACGGG